RNAcentral lists this ribosomal RNA (472 nucleotides) under uncultured bacterium. Its description in RNAcentral is "bacterial SSU rRNA". It matches the Rfam family "Bacterial small subunit ribosomal RNA", at positions 774 to 1240 of the family's 1533-position model. The record is from RNAcentral.
AGUGAAUAGAUACCCUGGUAGUCCACACCGUAAACGAUGAUCACUAGUCGUCGGAGGAUUCGACCCCUUCGGUGACGUCGCUAAACGCAUUAAGUGAUCCACCUGGGGAGUACGCUCGCAAGGGUGAAACUCAAAGGAAUUGACGGGAGCCCGCACAAGCGGUGGAGCAUGUGGUUUAAUUCGAUGCAACGCGAAGAACCUUACCUGGGCUCGAAGUGUAGUGUAAACUCAUGAAAGUGAGGUAUCCCUUCGGGGAGCGCUACAUAGGUGCUGCAUGGCUGUCGUCAGCUCGUGUCGUGAGAUGUUGGGUUAAGUCCCGCAACGAGCGCAACCCUUGUCCUUAGUUGCCAUCAGGUAAAGCUGGGAACUCUAAGGAGACUGCCGGCGUUAAGUCGGAGGAAGGUGGGGUAUGACGUCAAGUCCUCAUGGCCCUUACGGUCCAGGGCUACACACGUGCUACAAUGGCCGGUAC